This 270-nucleotide long non-coding RNA is filed under the name Homo sapiens (human). RNAcentral describes it as "HSALNT0182597". Lineage: Eukaryota; Metazoa; Chordata; Mammalia; Primates; Hominidae. The record is from RNAcentral.
GGGGUCUCUUCUUCCACGUUUCUCCGAGGCAUCCUCCAUCGACACCACAGCCCAGGAGGAAAAUGAGAAAGUUCAGGACUGUCUCAGACCAUUCACUCAACUGAUCCUAUCUCCUUCUCAAGAUGUUUCUCAGUCACCUGCCUGGCAGAGGACAACCAGGCAUUUCCUGAGCACAGCAUCAGCUGUGUGUCACGCCUUGUGUAAAAGCUGAAAAUACGACGUUUGUAAGUCACAUUUUCUAAAUUUGCGAAAGGCACAGUUGAUUAGGGA